CUUCAUUGAUUGUUCUCCUUUUCUCUGUUGCAGAGGCUGCAACAUCCCGAACUCAAAGUCCCCCUCUCGAACUCGAAGUCUCUCUCUCAAACUCGAAGUCUCCAUGAGAGCUUUUGUUGGCAUUCCAACGAUUUGGGUAUUGAUUGAUGUUCUGCACUUGCAAUUUGGGGAUCGAUUGAUUUCCUUCCACUUGCAAUUUGGGUUUUGCACUUGCAAUUUGGCCACUUUCAGUCUCAGUUCUGCACUUUCGUGAGAGAGAGGGAGAGAGUCGGCUACGAGCUCGACUUGAGAGAACCGAGGGUAAGAGGGGAGCCAGGCGUGUGAGACUGAGCCGAGAACGUGAGAGUUGGAGUGUCGAGCUGAGGGGAAAGGAAGCGAGAUUGAGCUGAGAGGGUUCGCUAGUCCCGAGAAAGAGAGAGGUGUUGAGCUUGUAUGUUUUGUCUAGAGCUCAGAGAGGGAAGGAAGACGUGAGAGGGCAAGGGAUAACAGACGCUGUAGGGAGUGGAAGCAGAAGGGAAGGAAAGGGAAAAGAGAGAGAAAAAUGAAAGAAUCGAUCAGAGAGGUUCAGAUGGGUCACGGGUAAGAAAGGAAAAACAAAAAACAUAAGAAGUAAGGGGAAGAAGAUAUGAGUUGGUUGUAGGUUUGAAUUGCAGAAAGGGAAGAAGAAAGAAAGGAAAAAGCAUAGCAGGUUCGGGCAAAGAUGCAAAAGAAGAAAAGCAAAAAAAAAAAGAAAAUGAAAGGCCGGAAGCAAAAUGAAGGGGAACAUAUAAAUAAAACAAACAUAGGGUCAAGUCAACCUCUGUUAUAUAUAUAUAUAUAUAUAUUCUUAAAAUAAUAAAUAUUUAUUUAUUUUAUAAUUAAA
Molecule: non-coding RNA, 862 nt
Organism: Punica granatum (pomegranate)
Lineage: Eukaryota; Viridiplantae; Streptophyta; Magnoliopsida; Myrtales; Lythraceae
Source: RefSeq, a predicted model, not a curated record